This 438-nucleotide ribosomal RNA is filed under the name uncultured bacterium. RNAcentral describes it as "partial 16S ribosomal RNA". It matches the Rfam family "Bacterial small subunit ribosomal RNA", at positions 339 to 795 of the family's 1533-position model. The record is from RNAcentral.
CUACGGGCGGCUGCAGUGGGGAAUCUUAGACAAUGGGGGAAACCCUGAUCUAGCCAUGCCGCGUGAGCGACGACGGCCCUAGGGUUGUAAAGCUCUUUCAGCAGGGAAGAUAAUGACGGUACCUGCAGAAGAAGUCCCGGCUAACUCCGUGCCAGCAGCCGCGGUAAUACGGAGGGGACUAGCGUUGUUCGGAAUUACUGGGCGUAAAGCGCGCGUAGGCGGAUUGUUAAGUCGGGGGUAAAUCCCGGGGCUCAACCCCGGAACUGCCCUCGAUACUGGCAGUCUUGAGUUCGAGAGAGGUGAGUGGAAUUCCGAGUGUAGAGGUGAAAUUCGUAGAUAUGCGGAGGAACACCAGUGGCGAAGGCGGCUCACUGGCUCGAUACUGACGCUGAGGUGCGAAAGCGUGGGGAGCAAACAGGAUUAGAUACCCUAGUAGUC